GUUCUUAUGUAAGCUUGACAUGACUGGUGUUAUUCUUCAAAUAUGGUGUCAGUUAUUUGUUCAUUUUGCACGUGGUCAACGGCCAAUGAAUAAAUACAGUUAUUGUAAUAUUUGAUAGGGAAACCAAUGUCUUGUUCUCACAGCUAUUACGUGUAUUGCAUUGCAGUUUGAAUUAUAAAUACUUCUCUAAUCAAACUUGAACUUGCUACUUACGGACUGAAAAAAAGGAAUAUUACAUAAGUUUUUUCGGCAUCAUUGAUUAUUUUAUAAUUUUUAUGUAUCACCAUAUAAUGAAUUUCAAAAUGGAUAUUAAUUUAUUUUUCCAUUAAAG
Molecule: long non-coding RNA, 331 nt
Filed under: Mytilus galloprovincialis (Mediterranean mussel)
Lineage: Eukaryota; Metazoa; Mollusca; Bivalvia; Mytilida; Mytilidae
Source: RNAcentral